This 435-nucleotide ribosomal RNA is filed under the name uncultured bacterium. Its description in RNAcentral is "bacterial SSU rRNA". It matches the Rfam family "Bacterial small subunit ribosomal RNA", at positions 43 to 524 of the family's 1533-position model. The record is from RNAcentral.
CAGGCCUAACACAUGCAAGUCGAACGAAGGCUUCGGCCUUAGUGGCGCACGGGUGCGUAACGCGUGGGAAUCUGCCCCUUGGUUCGGAAUAACAGUUGGAAACGACUGCUAAUACCGGAUGACGACGUAAGUCCAAAGAUUUAUCGCCGAGGGAUGAGCCCGCGUAGGAUUAGCUAGUUGGUGUGGUAAAGGCGCACCAAGGCGACGAUCCUUAGCUGGUCUGAGAGGAUGAUCAGCCACACUGGGACUGAGACACGGCCCAGACUCCUACGGGAGGCAGCAGUGGGGAAUAUUGGACAAUGGGCGAAAGCCUGAUCCAGCAAUGCCGCGUGAGUGAUGAAGGCCUUAGGGUUGUAAAGCUCUUUUACCCGGGAUGAUAAUGACAGUACCGGGAGAAUAAGCUCCGGCUAACUCCGUGCCAGCAGCCGCGGUAAU